UACAGAGGUGGCAAGCGUUGUUCGGAAUUACUGGGCGUAAAGGCCGCGUAGGCGGUCUUAUAAGUCUCGUGUGAAAUCCCUCGGCUUAACUGAGGAACUGCACGGGAUACUGCAAGACUUGAGUUCGGGAGAGGGAAGCGGAAUUCCGGGUGUAGCGGUGAAAUGCGUAGAUAUCCGGAGGAACACCGGUGGCGAAGGCGGCUUCCUGGACCGACACUGACGCUGAGGCGCGAAAGCUAGGGGAGCAAACGGG
Molecule: ribosomal RNA, 253 nt
Filed under: uncultured bacterium
Lineage: Bacteria
Description: partial 16S ribosomal RNA
Rfam family: Bacterial small subunit ribosomal RNA
Source: RNAcentral